This 376-nucleotide long non-coding RNA is filed under the name Homo sapiens (human). Its description in RNAcentral is "non-protein coding lnc-ACACB-1:5". Lineage: Eukaryota; Metazoa; Chordata; Mammalia; Primates; Hominidae. The record is from RNAcentral.
UGGUUCCACGUGGCAAGGUUUGGGAGGCUUCUGAGAACCUGGCCUAAUGAUUCCUGUUUCCUCCCUUUUCAGUCAUCAUCCGUUUGCAGCCUCUCUUUGGUAGCCCAUGCCCCUGGAGGGUCCUUGUUUUCAGGCAAGAAGAUAUCUCAGCUCAUCAUGUACAUUUCUGCCCCAGCCCUAGAAUCAGACAUUUCUCCAAGGAGUCCUGGUUCCUUUCAGUGGGAAAUGUUCUUAGAGACAUUAUAAUCUGGACACUAACGAUGUCUGUGGAAUUUUUACAAGAUCGCCUUGGCUUCUCUGUGCAUGAUGAACUGGAGGGACAAGACCAGGCCAGAGAGACAGGUCAAGAGACUUUCGCAGUGGCCCAAGUGAGAUA